UUUACCAUGUUGGUCAGGCUGAUCUCAA
This 28-nucleotide non-coding RNA is filed under the name Homo sapiens (human). The record is from RNAcentral. Lineage: Eukaryota; Metazoa; Chordata; Mammalia; Primates; Hominidae.